Molecule: microRNA precursor, 106 nt
Filed under: Sorghum bicolor (sorghum)
Lineage: Eukaryota; Viridiplantae; Streptophyta; Magnoliopsida; Poales; Poaceae
Description: mir-399 microRNA precursor family
Rfam family: mir-399 microRNA precursor family
About the family: mir-399 was identified in both Arabidopsis thaliana and Oryza sativa computationally and was later experimentally verified. mir-399 is thought to target mRNAs coding for a phosphatase transporter. The mature sequence is excised from the 3' arm of the hairpin.
Source: Rfam by way of RNAcentral
ACUUGCAUUGCUGGGCAACUUCUCCUUUGGCAGAUGCGCAAUGUGCUCCGACCCUGGGGCUUCUUCCGCGCCUACUGCCAAAGGAAAUUUGCCCCGGAAUUCACCU